AAGUCUUGUUCCUUCUCUUUUUUCGUUUUCUCUUUUUUUUCGUCCUUUUCCCUUGAUUUUGACCCCUACUGGUCCCCCCUUCUCUUCUCUCCCUCUAAUGUUUCUUGGUAGUGCCGGUACUCUCUCUCCUACCUCUCUUGCUCUCCCACAGAACAUGCUCUCCAUUUUCUCACUCUUUUUUUCUGCUGUCCCCUUUCAUCUGUCCAUUCCGUGAGCGUUUUCUUCUUUUCUUCGUCCUCUCUUCCAGAAUGGGAAAUCACGCACAGAACGAGCAGUAUGGCUGGUGGCAUUGUCAUGCUGGAGGGUCAUGUCAGGAUGAGCCUGUAGGAAGGGUACCACAUGAGGGAGAAGGAUGUCUUCCCUGUAACGCACAGCAUUGAGAUCGCCUGCAAUGACAACAAGCUCAGUCCGAUGAUGCUGUGACACAUCGCCC
Molecule: long non-coding RNA, 433 nt
Filed under: Salmo salar (Atlantic salmon)
Lineage: Eukaryota; Metazoa; Chordata; Actinopteri; Salmoniformes; Salmonidae
Description: lncRNA (ENSSSAG00000106764.1)
Source: RNAcentral